This is a long non-coding RNA of Armigeres subalbatus, 1275 nucleotides long. RefSeq lists it as uncharacterized. The transcript is spliced from 3 exons. The record is from RefSeq and is a predicted model, not a curated record. NCBI's taxonomy places the organism in Eukaryota, Metazoa, Arthropoda, Insecta, Diptera, Culicidae.
CCUUACUCCAAACCAUUUUCUGGUUGGUUCCUCCAAUGGUUCAAAACCUUUAGUAAUCAUCGAUGAUAGCCGAUAUGCUCUGAAGCAGAACAUGUGCACCUCACAAAUCCUGGCAAACAUGUAUUGGAAACGCUGGGUAAAGGAUUAUCUUCCGGAGAUUACCCGACGAUCCAAGUGGUUCCACUCUGUCAAACCCAUCGCUAUCGGAGACAUUGUCGUCAUUGCCGACCCGAAACUACCACGGAAUUGUUGGCCGAAAGGAAGGGUCAUAUCUACGAAGGCCAGCCGGGAUGACCAGAUUCGAUCAGCGACCGUUCAGACAGCCUCUGGAGUUUACGAGCGUCCAGUGGCGAAGUUGGCAAUUUUAGAUGUUCAGCGCGUAGUGCAGUAAGCCAACCGGAAGUUGGCGUACCCUGGGGGAGUGUUAGCCUACCCCAUUAGGCCAGCGCGCGCAUCUGUUUAUAGCAUUAGCUACAUCGUCGCAGCCCUACAGCAGAGACAGCUUCGAUGACAGUGGAGUGACAGGUAGUUCUGCCGUCACCGGGUGAGUCAGCAAAGUAGAAGACCAAAGUAAAUUAAUACCAUGCAUAUCAGCUACUCGUGCUACAAAUAGUAUCUUAUUAUUAAAGUAAAUCUUACCUAAAAGUGCUUAUACUAAGUGAAACUAUAUAUAAUUGUGUGCUUAACAUCUACAUACGUAACCGCAGGCCCGAUUGCAUAACCAAAGCUGCUUGUCGCAGUGCUUAGCUCCCCUAAAUUAUCACACCGGUAAUAUUUGAUUACCACACGGAUCAUUGCUACUACAAACUAGAUACAGACUACGAACUAUUAUAUGAACUAAAAGGGAAACUAAAACGUGAGUAAACCUCUAUAUAUUUGCGUUAUUGAAAUGCAGUAUGUUCUCAUUGAAUAAUAACCUCUAUUACAAGUAUACUGAGAAUAGCCUUAAAUUAUAUGUACACAUUGUAAAUGCAUUUCACAGGAAAAUUAUAUUCUCGAUACUACCAACAACCGGAUCAAACGUUUUUAUUUCGCUUCCGGUCGAGAAUUAUAAUUCCGGAAAUUUCCCCCGUUGGAUUAACUCCAACAAAUAGUAUUCUCUAUCUUUCAUUUAAAUUUUGAGAUGCGUGCUCAAACUAUGGACUGAAUAACCCGUUAUUAAAAAUAUCGACAUAUAAAAUAUUGUAUGACAUAGCCUAACAUCAUUAGGUAUACAUUCUAUUAAAUGUAUAUUUGAUUGCAAAUUGUUGGCAGGCUGUUUGCUUUGUCAUCAGU